AACGCACCUUGCGCCCCUUGGUAUUCCGAGGGGCAUGCCUGUUUGAGUGUCUUGAAAUCAUCAAACCGAACCGGUCUUUGUCGGCCGGCGCGGUUUGGACUUGGGGGUUUCCUUGCUGCCGCUCGCGGUGGCUCCCCUUAAAUUCAUCGGUCGGGCUUUCGUGCGGCUCUGUCCCUUGGCGUUGUAUUACCCUCGUCGCUGGAUGGCUCGCGAUACUGCGCCCUUCUUUGACCUGCCUCUGGAGCGGCGGUCUUCAACUUUUGUGAUCUGACCUCAAAUCAGGUAGGACUACCCGCUGAACUUAA
Molecule: unclassified non-coding RNA, 305 nt
Filed under: uncultured fungus
Lineage: Eukaryota; Fungi
Description: sequence contains ITS2
Rfam family: 5.8S ribosomal RNA (bases 1-52)
Source: RNAcentral